GGGGCUGGCCAGGAAGUAAUCGACCAAAGACCUUGUAUGCAUAUAUGCAUAACCCUCGUACAGACGAUAGGGUGGUUAAGGCCUGGGGUGGGAGUGAGUGGGAGGGGGUCAAUGGAGGAAAAAAGGGGACAUAUGUCAUACUUUCAACAAUAAAGAAUUAUUUUUUUAAAAAAACUGGUUGAGAAAUGCACACCCAACAAAUAUGUAGAUGCUGUAAUGAGUGUUCUAUAUUUUAAAAGUCCAAGUUUUUCUUAAGAAACGGCAAUAUUAUGCUUGCUUCGAAAGCACAUAUACUAAAAUUGGAACGACACAGAGAAGAUUAGCAUGGCCCCUGCACAAAAAUGGCAUGCAAAUUUGUGAAGUGUUCC
Long non-coding RNA from Myotis brandtii (Brandt's bat), 368 nucleotides. RefSeq lists it as uncharacterized. The transcript is spliced from 3 exons. NCBI's taxonomy places the organism in Eukaryota, Metazoa, Chordata, Mammalia, Chiroptera, Vespertilionidae. The record is from RefSeq and is a predicted model, not a curated record.